GAGGCCGGUUAUCGGAAUGGGUACAAUUUAAACCCGUUAACGAGGAUCUAUGAGAGGGCAAGUCUGGUGCCAGCAGCCGCGGUAAUUCCAGCUCUCAAAGUGUAUAUCGUCAUUGCUGCGGUUAAAAAGCUCGUAGUUGGAUCUGCGCCUAAGGACUCGGUCCGUCUUAUGGAUGUGAACUGAGCUCCUAGGCUACCACUGCCGGUUUUCCUUACGUUGCCUUCAUCGGUCGCGUAGGGUGGCCGGCGAGUUUACCUUGAAAAAAUUAGAGUGCUCAAAGCGGGCUAAUGCCUGAAUAUUCGUGCAUGGAAUAAUGAAAUAGGAUCUCGGUUCUAUUUUGUUGGUUUUCUGAUCUGAGAUAAUGGUUAAGAGGGACGGACGGGGGCAU
RNAcentral lists this ribosomal RNA (388 nucleotides) under Abbreviata hastaspicula. RNAcentral describes it as "SSU rRNA". It matches the Rfam family "Eukaryotic small subunit ribosomal RNA", at positions 498 to 891 of the family's 1831-position model. Lineage: Eukaryota; Metazoa; Nematoda; Chromadorea; Rhabditida; Physalopteridae. The record is from RNAcentral.